AAUAAAUAAACAUUAAACAAAAUUUUUUUUUAAUUAAAAAAAAAUGGAACUUAGGUUACCAUAGAAUUUUGUCUGCUGUCACAUACACUGGAACUUCUUAGGGUUGGGGAUGUUGUUUUAGCUAUGUGUCCUCCAUACCCUGCACUCAGGAGCAGCUCAGUAAAUCAUGUAGGUGCUUUUCACAAGCAGGCUCUCUAAUCACCAUGGCAACCUUGCAAACUAGACAGUGUUUUUUCCCAAAUGAAGUCUCAGGUUAAGCAACUUGCCCCAAGUCAGAUAUGCUUAGUUUCCAAGGCAGAACUCUUUCCACAGUGUCUAAAGUAUGUCUGAUGUUUGCAUGCUCAAAACAAACACAAAACAAAACAAAUCCCACUCUGCUUCAUAGAAGCAGCAUUACCUGGACCUAAUCCCACCUCUCGGGGAACCGAAUGGUUUUUUGGGAGCCCUCUACCUGGGCAAACACCCCCACCUUCUCUGAAUUUCGGUUUCCUCCACUGUCAUGGGGUUGAUACUAAUAGCUUCCUUCUUAGGCUGACAGAGAUAACACACACAAGGCACGCAGCGCUGUGAUAAGUCACCGUCCUUCCUGGGUGCCCUGCCCUGUCGACUUGCCGCUCAGAUGCCUCCUCCACACCAGGGGCUGAGAAGCGCUGGCUGGGGCGGGGCAGGGGGCGGAGCCUGGUCCCUCCUGACUGUCCUCCAGAAUCACACAUCUGGCCCCUCAGGGUGGGAGUGGGAAGGAAGCCAGGCUCCCUGGACGCUGAUGAAACGUGUCUGUUGUGGGCCUGUUGGGCAACGCUGAAACUGGGGAGGAAGGAACAGCAACCGCUGAGUCUCCUGCUGGGUCCGAGGAGGCUUGAGCAACGCCCCCAGCAGUUGCCUCAUCUCUGCCAAGCAGGGUGAUGAUGCCCCAGGGUGGGGUGUUGCACCAUGUUCUUAGAAAGCUGCCUCUGUACAUGCAUUUCCAUUUGGGGCCUGGACUGGUUUUGUUUAAUCAUUGUCUUUUUCACUUCCAAAUUUCUGAGGGCAAAUUGGGAGACCAUGAUGUGGUGAAAUGAUCAUUAGCCAACUUUCCCUGAGUACUUACUCCACAUCCUGUACUGUGCUAAAUCCCUUCAUGUACGUGAUCUCGUGGAAUGCACACACCAACCCUCUCAGUUACCCACGGUCAAGCUCCCAAAGCAGAUGAUCCUCCUUACAAGGUAUCGGCAGAAGAUCAGAAGUGGCCUAACACGACGUCACAGUGCCUACGUCAUUCGCCUCAUCACAUCUCAUCACGUGGGCCUUUUAUCAUCUCACAUCAUCACAGGAACAAGGGUGCUGAGCGAGGCCCCGCGCACGUCGUCCUCCGACCUCUCCACGUGCUUACAAGGUUAGCUGUCCUUCCCCCAUUUAACAGGUAAGCAACCGGCGGCUUCAGGGGGAGUCAUGUCACACAAGGGCACAUAAGUGCCAGCUCUUGAAUUCUCCAGUCUUUGAGAGUGGAAGCUUUUUCUUUUUAUCUCUUUUGGCCUUUGCUGAUGCCUGGUGAUAGGACUUUCUACAACUGGGCCAACUUCCCCUGUCGGGCUCUUUACCAAACAUUCCAGGUAGACUUAUCACCCUGUGAUAACAUGGGAAGUUCUCAUUCAUUCCAUCUGUAUCAAAGCCUAAAAACAAAACAAACAGGAAACUGUAUUCAUAAAAAAAUAUAUAUGAAUUCAACUGUAUCGAUCAAAAAAAAGUCUGUAGAAUUGUUAAAAAUGUAUUUACAAAUUCCUUUUUCCUCUGUGCUUCAUUAGUGCAAAUGACAUACCCCGUUCUGGUAUCAGGGCUGGGACUCUUGCCGCCCAGCUGCUGUCUCUGCAUCCUGGCCAUCCCACUGCUCACUGAUGCCUCUCUGGACAGGGUUGAGGCUGUGUGCUGGCCCAGUGGGCAGAAACGAGUAAGACCCAGGCUGCUGGGGGCAAUCAGGCAUGCUCAUUAAGUAGCAAUGAAUGCAGGGCCUACUCUGAGAAGUGCUGUGAGGAAGGCUUAGACAAAAGGCGUGAGAGUGCAGAGAAGGAAAAAGGCCUUUCUGUCUCAGGGAAUCAGCAAGGCUGAAAGAUGGGUAGGAAACAGAUGGGGGAACACCGUGAGGAGGGCCGAGGGCCCAACUUCUUUCUCACCAUCAUUGCUGCUACCACGGGUGGCCAUGUGCCAAGCUCUGUGCCAGGCACCUUAUCCACAUUACAUCACUUACUCCUCAGAGCAACCCACUGAGGCUGUUACUGCUACCGCCCCCUCCUUUCGGAUGAGCAAUCUGAAGCUCCUUGCCCAAGGUCACACAGGUAAGUUCCAGAAGAAGGCUUUGAAUCCAGGUCUAUCAGAAGCCAGAGCCCCUGCUCUUAGAGUGAUUUACCAUUUUCAGAGAACUUUCAAAUUCGUUAUCCCAUCUGAUCUUCCUGUACCCAGAGUUUCUCUAUGUCUCACCAGCCUGUUGGCACAAAUGAGUCACCCUACCGGUAACAGUGUGAAUUUUACUUGCCCUCCCCCUCCCCCUCCCUUUGCUCACUUUGGUUCUCUGGCCACCUGCAAAGCCUCACCCACCUCUAGCGAGAGUCCCAGGGGGUAUCUAUGGUCACCUUUUCCUGCACUGCUCCUCCGUUAAAGCUCACUGCCCAAGAAGGUCAUGGAAGGUCCCACCCAAUCUGUCCCCUUUGAGAAUCCUUCCCCAGCAAGCCGAGGCUCAGGACCCUGCACGAGGUGUGUGACCUCAGCUCAGCUACCCCUGGCCCACCCCCAUGAGCCUCAGUUUUCUUAUCCGGGAAAGCAGAGAGGUUAGUUCAGUUCCACAUGUGUUCCCUGAGCAGCGGCUAAAUAUAACGGUGAACCAUGGAACCAAAGGAAAGGGGUGAAUCGAGCCAGGCCCUCGAUAAGACACACACAUAAGCAAUUAUACCCCCAAGACCCAUGUGCAGGGCGUAAGGGCCACAAGGGAAUCAAACUGUUGUGGGAAGGGCUGUUUCUGGCUGGUGAGAGGCCCAUAUGGCAGCCAUUCAUGGAGGCCUUAACAUACACCAGAUCCCAGCUCAGAGCUUUACCCGCAUUAACCCAUUUAAUCCUCCCCCAAAGCCAGUUGAGACAAAGACAGAAUUAUCCCCAUGUCAGAGAGGAAACUGAGGCUCAGGGAGGUGAAGUCAUUUGCCCAAGGUCACACAGUUAAGUAAGUGGUGGCAGAAUUGGUCUGACAGCCCCUAGCUCUUAAUUGCUAUCUUCGCAGAAGUGGGGUCAGUAAAUCUUGGCUUUGUAAACCAGCUCAGUCCUGAUACUGCUCAGAUCAAUCCUUCCCGUGUUAUGAUUGUAGAAUCACACAUUGUUUCCCCAUCUGCACAGUCAGCUGGAACAAAAGUCCCUGGAGCUCAAGUCAAACUAUGGGGACCAACUCUGAAAUCAUGGAAAAACCUCAAGUGGACGGUCAGGGCUGUUUCAUUGGAAAGUUUUUCUCCUGUGCAGUUUUCAGAAAACUUGGGAGCCCUGUGUCCCUUGUUCGUGCUAGACCUCGGCCUGCGAUGGUGUCUGGCUGAUCAACGAUAGUCAUAACCAUGAGUAUCAUGGAGAGCGCUUCACAUGCACCGCCUCAUUUCAUCUUGAUGACAGUACACAGUGAUAUUCCAUCUCCGUUUUACAGAGAAGAGAACCCGGUCUUGAAAAGAAGAAGCCUCUUUCUGGAGGUGACCCAGGCAGUAAGUGGCUGGUCCCUGAAACAGGUCUGGUGACCCUAAAACCUGCCCUCUUAAUGAUGACUUGAAUGCGUUGCUCAUUUUCCGUUCUCGGGGAUUCUCAACCGAGGCUGCUCAUUCACAAUACCUGGGAUACUAUUUAGAAUACUAUGGUGAGGCCCAUCCCAGACCAAUUAAAUCAGUCUCUGGGAAUGGACUCAGGUUGAAAACCUUGCCUCUAGGACAUGCCUGGCAUUCUACCAAGAGCCUCAGCCAGACCUGGAACUUCAGAGAGAAUUGGACAGUGGGAGGGGGAGAGAGGAAGGUUACCUGAUUCUUCUUCUCCUCCCUUCCCCUUCCAUCUCCUCCUUUUCCAGCCAACCGAAGGACUGGCCUCAGCCUUUCUCUUGAUCUGAGAUCAUUUGGCCUUUGGGAUAAGAUUUCUAUGUGACCCCUCCCCUACACUGUGCCUCAUAAGCCUGGCACAUAAUAGGUGCUCAGUAAACAUAAUAGGUGGUGAACAGAUCGUGAAGAGAACCCUCCAGCCAUUCCUUCCAGGCAGGUGAAAUUGCAUGGAUCUAUUCUGCUGGAGUUCAAAGAACUUGCACAACCGGAAGGAGACUUGCCCACUCCGGCAGGUAGCAAGAUGCUCCCAUCAGCCAUGCAUGAAGGUGCCCUUUGCACCAUCUCUUUCCCAGUAAUAGGUAUUAACUUAAAAAAAGAGAUCCUUUCUAAUUUAAUGGGUAGAAAACAAUCUCGGUUUUGGUUUGAAUUUACAUUUCUUUGAAUACUGGUGAGGACGAACAUUUUUUUCAUGUGCUUAUUAGUCAUUUGUAUUGCUUCUUCUGUGAAUUGUCUGUUCCCAAUUUACUAAUUUACAACGAGAAAUGUAACUGCCAAGGGGACCGGAUACACGUGUCCUCCAGCCAACACACCAGCUCCCUGUAGGCACACUCCUCAGGAUGCCAAACUCUAAUCAGGAGAUGCUUGGUGAACACAGCAUGAGCAAAAGGAGGGGUUGGUUAUAGGAUUCCAGGAUUUAAGGCAUCAGGGCAAGCUAGACUUACCACCGGGGUCCACAAAAUCCCUGACUACGGAUCCUCCCUCUUUCUCUUUCCUCUGCCUCCCUAGCUGCCCAGCCCUUCUUCAGAUGGACAUUUCUUUCUUUAGAAACAUGACUACAUUCAUUUUAGUGCUUCCUCUGGCCCACGAUCCCUCCUUGAUUGUAUGCUUGAACUCUCAAAGCAAUCUUCAUCCCUAAUUCCUGUGCCUCCUUGGACCACCUUCCCAUUUCCUGGGGAUUUACAAAGUCUAGCCUAUAGCUUUGGGGGAGUCUGCCCCUCCCCUUGUUGUGCUGGAAUUGCCUCCCUUCUAUAAAGUGUGAGCAUGGGGCGCCUGGGUGGCGCAGUCGGUUAAGCGUCCGACUUCAGCCACGGCACGAUCUCGCGGUCCGUGAGUUCGAGCCCCGCGUCGGGCUCUGGGCUGAUGGCUCAGAGCCUGGAGCCU
This is a long non-coding RNA of Felis catus (domestic cat), 5186 nucleotides long. RefSeq lists it as uncharacterized. The record is from RefSeq and is a predicted model, not a curated record. NCBI's taxonomy places the organism in Eukaryota, Metazoa, Chordata, Mammalia, Carnivora, Felidae. The transcript is spliced from 3 exons.